This 496-nucleotide ribosomal RNA is filed under the name uncultured bacterium. RNAcentral's name for it is "partial 16S ribosomal RNA". It matches the Rfam family "Bacterial small subunit ribosomal RNA", at positions 29 to 507 of the family's 1533-position model. The record is from RNAcentral.
AUGAACGCUGGCGGCGUGCCUAAUACAUGCAAGUCGAGCGAACGGACGAGAAGCGUGCUUCUCUGAUGUUAGCGGCGGACGGGUGAGUAACACGUGGAUAACCUACCUAUAAGACUGGGAUAACUUCGGGAAACCGGAGCUAAUACCGGAUAAUAUUUUGAACCGCAUGGUUCAAAAGUGAAAGACGGUCUUGCUGUCACUUAUAGAUGGAUCCGCGCUGCAUUAGCUAGUUGGUAAGGUAACGGCUUACCAAGGCAACGAUGCAUAGCCGACCUGAGAGGGUGAUCGGCCACACUGGAACUGAGACACGGUCCAGACUCCUACGGGAGGCAGCAGUAGGGAAUCUUCCGCAAUGGGCGAAAGCCUGACGGAGCAACGCCGCGUGAGUGAUGAAGGUCUUCGGAUCGUAAAACUCUGUUAUUAGGGAAGAACAUAUGUGUAAGUAACUGUGCACAUCUUGACGGUACCUAAUCAGAAAGCCACGGCUAACUACGUG